Molecule: ribosomal RNA, 245 nt
Filed under: uncultured bacterium
Lineage: Bacteria
Description: partial 16S ribosomal RNA
Rfam family: Bacterial small subunit ribosomal RNA
Source: RNAcentral
AGUAACGCGUGGAUAACCUGCCUCACACAGGGGGAUAACAGUUAGAAAUGACUGCUAAUACCGCAUAAGCGCACAGUCUCGCAUGGGACAGUGUGAAAAACUGAGGUGGUGUGAGAUGGAUCCGCGUCUGAUUAGGCAGUUGGCGGGGUAACGGCCCACCAAACCGACGAUCAGUAGCCGGCCUGAGAGGGUGAACGGCCACAUUGGGACUGAGACACGGCCCAAACUCCUACGGAAGGCAGCAG